Molecule: transfer RNA, 72 nt
Filed under: Camelus bactrianus (Bactrian camel)
Lineage: Eukaryota; Metazoa; Chordata; Mammalia; Artiodactyla; Camelidae
Also listed under: 2 other names
Rfam family: tRNA
About the family: Transfer RNA (tRNA) molecules are approximately 80 nucleotides in length. Their secondary structure includes four short double-helical elements and three loops (D, anti-codon, and T loops).
Source: Rfam by way of RNAcentral
GUGGGUACAGCUCAGGGGUAGAGCGUGUGCUUAGCAUGCAUGAGGUCCUGGGUUCAAUCCCUAGUACCUCCA